Molecule: long non-coding RNA, 2752 nt
Organism: Artibeus jamaicensis (Jamaican fruit-eating bat)
Lineage: Eukaryota; Metazoa; Chordata; Mammalia; Chiroptera; Phyllostomidae
Exons: 2
Source: RefSeq, a predicted model, not a curated record
UGCUCACCAGCUCCCCAAAGCACCGGGUCCCUAGUAGGGAGCAGGUCUCCCUACCCCCAGCAUGCAGGCCUAAACCAGCCCCCCACCCACAGGUCAUCGUCCUCAGGCCUCUCCUGCUCCGCUCUCCCCACUGCCCCGCCCCAUCAGACCAGCAGCUCCCCUGGCGAGCGGACCGGGGGAUCCUACACCCCCAGCUCCUAAAUCCUCAGGCCGGCUGCUCGGCUGCUCCGGACGCGCCAGGCGCUCCGCCGCCAGAGACUCAUCCGAGGCCCGUCAGGCGCAGCGGAGGCAGGAAGUGCAGGGCGGCGCGAGACUGGACCCCACCGAGGGCCACGGGCCGUUCCGAGGCGGGGGGCGCCCAGGGGGCCGGAGGACCGGAGGAUCGCAGCGCCUUGCACACAGCCCGCUUUCCACACAGGCGCACGGAGGAAGGGUCCUGGGUCCGACUCAAGACACACACAGCCGGCCGCGCGCGCCUGCAGCUCCGUCCCGCCGGACUCCGCCCGCGUGCAACAAAGACUGCAGGACCCGCCCUCUGUGGAGGCGAAGAAAAGACCAGAGAACAGAAGGGGCGAAAGAAGGAAGAAAGGGAAGAAAGAAAGAAAAGAAAGAGGGGAGGUGGGAGGGAGGCAGGGUAGUAGGGAGGGGCGGCCGCCGGCCCCCGCCCCGCUCUGGGCUCCUGCCCCCGCCCCGUUCCUCCCCACCCGCCCCCCCAGGGGCAGCGCAGGGUCAGCACCACAGACUUACACCCACCACCCGUGAGCCGAGGGCGCCCUCUGCUGGUGGAGCUGAGCCAGCUCUCCCGGCCUGGGCGCUCUGAGACCCCUCCAAGAAUCUGGAUUUUCCGGAAUUCCUGCCUGGUCCCCAAGCUCUGCCCGAGUAGGAGCCCCUCGGUGUGUGUCCCGGCCAGACAGCCCUGCCCCUCCUAGGAAAGGGACACGGAGGCCUCCUGAGGGUCUGGGGGGCUCACAGCCAGGCAGCAGGGGCCCUGGGGUCCCAAGAUGAUUCUGCUCCAAGGACAGCUCAGGAGAGAGGCUUGGGCCGCCCCCAGUGGGCAGCCUUUUCCCUUGCGAGGCAGGGUCCCCGGUUCCUCGACUUCAAGUGUACGUCUGCAUAGACAUAGUGGCUAGGCUGCGGCCCCCAGGCUCUCAGCAGGGCCCCCCUGGGAGCCCGGAGUCCCGCCAACACCAGCCUGACAUCCCAGGCCAGCCUCUGCCUCCACCCCUCAGCCAUCUGUCCUUCCGCUGCCCCUGCUGGGCCUCUGGCUGCCUGCUCCCUCUCUGCUCUGCUCCUAGGAUGCUCACCCUCCAUCUCCCGCUCUAGCGCGGGGACCUCCGCUUCUGUUCUCCACCUGGGCUGCCCUGGCCCUUGGCCAGUCCCUGUGGAGCUUCUCCCUCUGAGGCCCACAGACUAACCGUCACUCCCACAAGCUCCACCGGCAGCCCCUCUGCCCUCCUGGGGCACCUGUGGAGCACCCUGCCGCUCGGUUCCUUGACCUCCUCCAGGGUGGCCUUCCUCUCCACCUCAGCCACCAGCUCUCAGGGCCGUGGCCUAGGCUGUGCCUGAUGCCGCUGCCACUGCCGCACCUCUGACACCUGAAGAUCGGAUGCCCUGAUCUCAGACCAGAACCCUCCCUGACAGGCACACCACGUACUUGUCUCCUUCCAGUCGCUGGUCUCCUUUGUCUACUCUGUGACUACUUCCUUCCCCGGCUGCAUUCACGGCUCCAUCUCUGGCCUUUCAGCAAAACCAGGCUCAGCCUGGCCUCUCCGUAACAGCAACAGUAAAUAAGAACAAAAAGGAGGAGGAGGAGGCAGAGGAGAAGAGGAAGAAGAAGGAGAAGCAGCAGCAAGACUCCACGGCAGGCAGAGCUGAGGGCCCCUCCUGGUUACUUGGUGGAUUCCCUCCUGACACUGUUAUCACAGGUUAUCACUAUCUUCUUCAGUCGAUGGACCCCAGUCCACACAGCUGGGAAGGGACGUUAAGGGGACUGUAGUCUUUUCCUCCCCUGGACCCUCACGCGCUGCGACUGAUCCCCCCUUCCUCGAGCUUCCUCACUUGUCACUCCCUCUGUCUCAUUUCUGUCAGCCUCAUUGUAAAGUGGUAUGUACGGGUAGGUCAUAUUUUAAAGUCCAACCCUUGUCUGACUUUAUUUUUUUAUGUGUGUUUUUAAAUAACCUUUUUUAUAAUUAUGCAAGUACACACAUGUAUUAUAGGAAGUUAGAAAAUCAAGACAAACAUUUUCAAAGAAUCAAACAUUAUUACACUAAUAGGUGGCCUUAUUCUUGCUACGUGAGAGAUUACUUGGAUCUGCAAUCUGCUUUUUCCAAUCAUCUCUACUUUUUUUUAGGUUUUUUUUUUCUAAUUUUAGAGAGGGAGAGAGAGAAACAUCAACUUUGUUGUUCCACUUUUUAUGCACUCGUUGGUUGCUCCUUGUAUGUGCCCUCACUGGGAAUCGAACCCACAACCUUGGUGUAUAUUGGGACAAUGCCCUACUCAGCUGAGCUACCCCACCAGGGCCUCACCUCCACUUUUUUAUUACAGUAAAUUUUCAUCUCAUCGAAUAUUCAAACUAUAUUCAGAUUUCCCCACUCUACUCCAAAAUCUCUUUUAUAACUGGUUUACUCAGAAUAAAAUCCAAUCUAGGAUCACCUGUUGCAUCUGGUUAUUACGGCAAAAGUCAUUUCUGAAAAAGAGAAUACAUGUAAACAAACAAACAUAAAUAAAAAGAUAGUACUUGUUCAAGACACUA